This 30973-nucleotide long non-coding RNA is filed under the name Medicago truncatula (barrel medic). RNAcentral describes it as "long non-coding RNA (MTRU_LNC001267)". The stretch from base 8189 to 8260 matches the Rfam family "tRNA". Lineage: Eukaryota; Viridiplantae; Streptophyta; Magnoliopsida; Fabales; Fabaceae. The record is from RNAcentral.
GAAUGAAAAAUGUAAGAGGAUGGAAUUGAUAAACCACUCAAUAGAUUACAUUAACCAUUUAACCGUUUUCUGUGGGAACAGGGGAUGCCUCAACAUAAGGCAAGGCAACUACUGUUGUUAGUCUGUUUGAGAUUCUAUACAACAAGUAAACAAUAAUUGCGAAUGCUAAUUAAGUUCACAACAACGACCAAUUGCAUUUAUUCCAUUUAAUAAGAAUCUCUAUUGGUGUUGCACAAAUUCACUAUACACAGGUUCAGAUUAAUACAACCAUUGAUGCAUCAAACAUGAAUAAUUUCUACAACCAUAUGAUUAUUUUAACUACAAAAAAAAAAGUCUCAAGAUAUAGCAAAAGGUAUGAACCGUAAUUGAAAACCAUGUUAUCUCCGAAAACACUUCUAUAAACCUUAUAUCAUUGCUUGAGUGUUUUAGCUGAAGAUGCAGCAUAUCUAGCAGAGAAACCGCGGCCUAAAGCUUCUUCGUCGUCCUCCUCCCAACUACCAUCAUCAAAAUUUUGAGCAUAGCUUAAAGGAUCAUACCUAAAACCACCAACGGUUCUCCUCUUCCACGGCAGCUUCAAUUUGAGACGCCCAAAGCAUGAAAGCAACCCUCCUCCACCUGUUUUGCUUCUUCUAGUAGAUGAUGGACUUGUUUCCAUUGCUAGCUAAUUUUUGAGAUAGAUAGCUUCAUUGAAUGAAAACUUAGUGUUAGCUCUCGUGGGGUCUUUUUUUAUUCACAACUUCUAUUUUAAUUUGGUAUGGAUUUUAAGUGUGUGGUAGAGAAUAAUAUAACUUGAGAAGAAACAAAACCCAUUUUUUUUGGUUUACAGAAUAUAUAAUUGUCCUCUUAAGAUUGUUUUUUAUGAAAAGAAUCUUAGAAUGUGAAUGGUAAUUCAGUUAAUACUUUCAUUAAUCUUUAUAUUCAAAUUAUAGAGUAUGGAGGACCGCUAGCUCUUGAUGCCAGAAAGUGUAGCUUAUAACUAAUACUCAAAAGGGAACAUGUCACAUAGUGGAGAAUAAUUGUUCCUCAUUAUCGACAUACAUUUUCAAGUAUUCUUAUUAGACUAGAUCCCUAGUUUCAAAAAGUGAAAAAAAAAUAAAAAUUAUUGUACUCUGAAGUUUGAUCAAUUUUUUUUUUUUGAAAGAAAGUUUGAUCAAAUAUGUGUCCAUCAUCAAAUUAUUCGACGACAUAUUAUAUUUUUGUAUUAAUUUAAUUAAAAAUAAAAAUAUAUUUUGAAUGAAUUUUACCAAAAUUUUUGCGAAAAGUUAUGUAGGAAAUGGAGUCUCAUAGUAGACAACUCGGUUGAUAAAUUGAAUGAGUACUAAUCAAAGAUUUUUUUUUUUUAAGGAAGUACUAAUCAAAGAUAUAAAGUUCAAAAUAAUAACCUUAACAUAAUCAUUAGUACUUUCUUACCAACUAAAAUUUCCCUGUAAGAAAAAAAUUGUGUGAAUUUACGGAUCAUGAUUUCGAACAAUUUAUUUUGUUACAACUCUAAAUAUAGAAAUAAUUUUAGCGCACACACAUGCAUCAAAAUAUACGCUAUUUAAUUAUUCAAAAAUACAUUCCUUAAAAAAAAAAUAUUCAAAAUACACGUUUAAAUCAAAAGUUCGGUUGUAUAGUUGUAUGUGUUAAAAUCCAUUUUAUUUGGACUUAUGACCAAGCAAGUGUUAAUGCACCAUUUUUUUGUUUUUUUUGUUUUGAAAGAGUUAAUGCACCAUUCUAAAUAGUAAAUUUUACAAUAUUUGUUGUAAUUAUAGAAUAAGGGUGUGUGGCCAUGUAGGGUUAGGUUGAAAUAUCAAUCCUAGUUGUGCAAGAAAGGGAUUUAUCUGUUUGAUGUUAUGGCGGGUAGGGCAAAUAUUUGGAGGUUUACUUUUUCAAGAGAAUAUCCCUUUUUUUGUUAUGAGAGAAAUAUAUUGGGAGAGAAUAAUGCUCCGAUUGAUGAUAUAGAAGAUCUUUGAGUUUAAAAAGCACUGGCAAAAAUAUUUAAAUUUUAUGUUCCUCCAAAAACAUUAUCGGGUCAAAAUUGUAAUUUUUGAUUCCAAAACUUGUUGUUUUUACCUGUAGACAAAAACCUUUGAAUUUGAUACGCUUUCUAAUUUAUAUUACAUGAUUGGAUGAUAUACCAAGAGUGGCAGUAUCAGCCUUGUGUGGUAGCUGAAGUUUUAUCAUAGGAUCUUGCUAACAAAUAUGGUCUAUUAUUCCUUUUGCUAUACCGACUAAAAAUAAAACCCCCUUUAUUUAAUAAUUUAUUAGAGAUAUAAAUAAAAGUCGGUUAUAAAUUAGUUAAAGAAAAAAAUUAAGUCUCGCAUAUAGUAAAGAUAUAACCUAAACUUGACAAAGAAAAAAUAUAGAGCCACAAAAAUUAAUUUUGUAAGUUUAGGAUGGGUUAUAUCAAAUAAAAAACCUAAUAGUCUCGCAUAUAGUAAAGAUAUAUACGCUUUCUUAUGAAAUAAUGUUUUCUAAAAUAUAAAUGUCAAUAAAUAACUCUUUAUAUCAUAAAAUUGAUCAUUACUUUAUAGAAUUAGGAAGUAAGAGUACCGAAACAUCUCAAUUUAUAAGUGUACUGUAGAAGUUUCCGUAAGUUUUAAGUGAUGUUUGCAUUUUUCGUCUACGUAUCUAACAAAAAUGUUUAAAGAAGAUAAAAAAAAAAGAAUAAACUUGCAAUAAUUGUCAAAGUACAAAUGUCUUCCUCCUUGAGUUGUACAAUGCGCUAUAUUUUUUUAGAAAAAAUAAGAAAUUUGAUAAGAAAUAUUUACGUCAAAAAAAGAAAAGAAAUUUGAAAAAAAUAUAUAUCUCAAACUUCAAAUAAAAGCAUUCACUAUUUUACCCAUUAGACAAUCACAGAUCUCUAGCUUCAAUUCAUAAGUCAUUCUCUAUUGAUUUUAGAGACAUCUUUCAUGACUAUUUCUAGAAACUUGUUCUUCAUAUACCAUUUAAAUUCUAUCUAGGAAGUUGGCUCUAGAAAAAAAAGGCAAAUAAAGUUUUGAAGUAGAUAAAUUUGAUCAUACAAAUUAAUCCCCUCCGUUCUCAGCAGUGUUGAAGAACCUAAGAUUAUAGUCUCAUAGAUUUCUUUAUCAGUUUAUCUUUGUCCGACACAAACACUCGGAGCCAAUACUCCAACCUAUAGUUGUAUUCAACAACACUUGAUUUCUUCUCAUGAUUGCUCCCUCAUAUUACAGCCUCUAUUCUUGCAUGACAACUCCAUCCAUAUUAAUUCCAAUUAUUUGUUUCCCUGGAUUCAUGCAUAACGGUUCCAUCAAAUUAUUUAUUUGUCAUGACUUAUUCAUAAUCUUUCUUUCAAUUUGUAGUCUCAUUCUAACCAUAGCAGCUCCCUCAUUCUUACAUUUUGCAAAACAUGUACAGCUACAAAACCAUGUACUCUUGAUUCCAAAAGAAAAAUAAUAUACAUAAGAGCCUUUGUUUUCUGUACCACCUAAAGUAUAUCAUAAAUUCUCCACUAUAACAAAUUAACUAACCAAAUGCAGUAAAUACAAAUCUGAACAUGUAAUAGCUUCAAAAAUAAAAAAGAUUAAUUAGUUAUAUAAACAUGAUAGCAUGAAAUAUUGAAUCAUUUCAUGAAGCACGUUUAUAUAAACAUGAUAGCUUACUUAAUUUAAAUCCUAAAAAAUACAAAUUCAAAAUGAAGCACACCAACAAUGUUACCAUUCACCCAUUUAUGUUUUAACGUGAGAUGUAUGAGAUGGUGAAUAGAAAAGCAAGAGCAACAGAAUAGCAUGUGGGAAAAAGGUCUGUCAAGAAUCAACAUAUCAUACUUCAACUGUGAGAUCGUAUACCUUAAACUUGUGUUAGAAAAUUAAGAAUAUUAAGUAUAAAUUUAAACUUUAUUCAGUGAAGAGAUCAAAUGACUUAACAUGACUAUACCUGCACACUUAAUUAAUAGUUUAGAAAGAAAGAAAAAUAAAAACAGAGCAUUUGAUUUGAACCCUUCAAUUUGAUGCAUUUCACUUGUCUGCAUUCUUUUAUUUACUCAAUUGUAUGUAACGGGGUUGAUUUGCGAAUACAAAAUAACAAUCAUCAAAUAAUGAAUAUCAAAACUAUCUUGCAAACAUUAAUAGCCAACAUGAUAAGUUUGGAAGAAUAAACUUUGGAAAUCAACUUUAUAGUUUGAAGGUGAAACGUAUUUUCCUAAUCGUAUUGUUUAGAAGCCAAACAAUGUCUAUUGUAGAGCUUUUUUUGCCGCAGAAGAUACACCAAUGGGGAAGAAGAAUUACCACAAUAGCUGCAAUGAAAAAAAGCAAACCGAUGCAGAGUAUAUAUAUAUAUCUACAAUAGCUGCAAUGAAAAAAGAACUCCCACAAUAGAGCAUUGAAAAAUGGUACUCCCUCCGUCCCAAAUUGUAUGACGUUUUGGGCAUUUCACACAUAUUAAAAAAUGUAAUUAAUAUUGUGUGGGAAAGAGAUAUUAUGAGUUAUUUUACAAAAUUAUCCUCAAUAAAUGAUAUGAGAAAGAUAAAUGAAGGAAUUGAAAGAAGAGAGGGUAAUAAAUAGUUAAGGAUAUAAUAGGAAAAGUAUCGUUAAUUUUUCAUUGGUAUUGUAAAGCGACAUACAAUUUGGGACAAAUAUUUUUUCUAAAGUGACAUACAUUUUGGGACGGAGGGAGUAGUAAUAAUGAGGCACCGCUUUUUUGCAUUGGAAUUGUAUCCAAUAGGUUAUACUCCAUGACUCUUAUUCAAAUUUGAAUGUUAUCGGAGGGCGGUGCAUAUGCAUUGGAAAUAGGGUGGGAAUAGAUAGUGGUGUGGGAUAUAGCAGUAAGGGAGCUUCUACGCUGCAGUCAUACAACUGACUUUUUUGGAAAAGUUAAUUUUGAUCUUAAUGUUUGAUUCAUUUUUAAAUUGUUGAUUACUCAUUAAUGAUCAAUAAUCAUUCAUCUAGUAAUGUUUGCAACAUCUUGGACUUACAUGUACUAUUUUAUCGUUGACAUCUUUAACAUGCAAACAGAGUUGAUGAUAUUAUGUGAUAGUCUUAAGUGUUACACUAUGUGGGGUAUUACACUUAAAACAAGGUAGGAUAAAAUUAGAUUAAGUGUAAUCUUGUUAAUCUGAUGAAUUGAUGAUACUAUGAUGACUGAACUUUUGAUGCCACUAUACAAACAUUUGGGGAGUUACUCACUACACUUUUGAUGUUAUAGUAUUAACUUCACCAGAAAAGUCAUUCUCAUGACUUCACCUCAGAAUUUUCCUAGUAGUAAAUGUCGUACAACAUUGUACAUGUAUCUGCCUUUAUUACUAAAACUUGUAACCAGAACGCGCGCGCACACACACACACAUACAUAUAUAUAUCAUGGGAAAGAGAGUAGAAUAAUAUGUACAUGAGGAUAGGGUAUAUUAAUUUUACACAUUCACAUUCCUUAUGUAUAUGCAUCGGCAAUUAGCAAAUGUUGUAGGAGGGAAAUUUAAAAAUUGAACUUAGCUUGAUGAGUAGGAAAAGCACUAACCAAAAUUAAAUGCUUGGGUGAUGGAAGGAAAAUAUUAGGUUAAAAUUAGGGUGAACAAUAGCUUGACCAGACAAGCUUUAGUAAGAAAGAUAUGUUAUCCUAAUGGAGUAUUUAAGUCUAAUUUGUAUUAUUUGAUGUAAUCGUCUUUAUCAUAGGGUCUUGCUAACAAGUGUCCUAAAGACAUUGUUUAAUGAAACCAUAAAUAGAAAUAUUCUCUCAAAACAUAAAUCAAACAUAUGAAAAAGCAAUAUUCACACAUAUUUUUAUGCAAAAGUUAUUACUAUUGAUUGCUAAAACCCCAAAGGCAUUUGUUAGCAGUUUUCUUAUAUUAAUACACAAUUCAUUUAUACUUGGACAUUUUCUCUCUUCCACGACCUCUAUCAAAAUUUUGAAUUUGGUACCAGAGCACAUGGUAUCCUCCGCGAGAAUAUGUUAUGAUGCACUUGAGUGAUUUUAUUGGGGGUGCCAAAAAUUAUAUGUGUGUGGAAGGGUUUGAAAUGCAUAUUAAAACAAUAAUAUUUGGUAUUGUGGUAAUUGUUGCUUAAAUAUUACCCCCAAAAGCGAGGGUUUGAUUUAUAGUAAGGACUUUUUUUAUUUUAUUAUUAAAAUUAAUAAUAUGUACAACUGAAGGUGUAAACUGAGUAUCAAACUUUGACCCCUUAUUAGGAAGAGAGAGAAACCCCCUCCCUUUCCACGAGAUAAGAUGCACAAUUUAUCAAAGAAUUAUGCCUAAUUUAGUAUAUAUAAAUUAGGGUUAAUAGGCUUUUACCCCCUGUCAUAUGGGUGUCUUUUGGUUUACUCUCUAGGAAAAAAAAAUUGAAGAUUCCCCCUUCUAAAAUUUAGAUUCUUUGGUUUUCAACCCUUAUGGCAUCUGACUGUACAUUUCAAUCUAUGUGGCACACUGAGUCACAUUUAAUUGAUUAGGUGGCGUACUGAUUGUAUAAUUAUUUUUAUUUUAAAUUUUUUUUAUUGCAUCUCACUAACAUGUCUUUAUUUACAAUUAUAAAAAAAAACUUCAUAGAUUUUCCAGAAACUUCAUAGAAAAUCAGCAACAACAUCAACAACAACAAAUUUUCGGUGGUUUUUUCAAAUCCAGGAUUUUUUCACUGAGAGAACAACAACAAUAUUGGUGGUUUUCAAACCCAUAAUUUUUUUCACUCUCCAACAACAACAACAACAACCUUCUGCAUCACCACCAACAACACUACUAAUGCUUGAACUAGCAGCCAUCCAACCACCACAUCAACACCGCCGUUAAACCCGUCACCGUAGUAUCCACCACAACGUCGCCGUCACAAUCACAACCGUCGUCACCGCGCACGACCUCCAACCAUCGCAGAUCCAUCACCGUCAAACUCGACCACCAUCUUCAUACACGACUUGAUUUUGAUUUGAGAAUAGAAGAGAAGAAACAAUCAUGGGGAUUUGGGAAGAGAAGAGAAGAAAAGAGAGAAGAAGAUAAGAUUGGAGAAGAGGAAAAGAGAGAGUCGUUUGAAUAUUUUUUUUUUAAAAAAAAAAAAAAAAAAAAAACUUAACCAACCAAAUCUCAAUUGGAUCAGUGUUUUCCUUAUUGUUUUGUUUAGAGAAGGGUUAGCAUUAGCAUGUAUUGCUGUUAUGGGUUUGAGUAGUGUUGUUUUGAACUAAAUUAAGAAGCAAAAGUAAUAGACACAAACAAUUGAGAUUUUGUUGUUGUUCUAUUGAAUCCAUCUUUAGAUUUUGCAUAGUUUGGACUUGGGUAUAAGGAGAAAUAAUUGAUGAUAAAGGCAAGAACAGAAUGGGAAGAAGAGAGAAGAAGAGGCCGCUGGAGAAGAAGAUGAGAAAAAAAAUUGGGAUUUUUUAAUUAAGCAUUAGGGGUACUUUAGACAUUUCACAUCUUUAGGAUUAAUUUUUAUAAAAAAAUAUUAUAUGUCCCACGUGGAAUUUAACCAAAAAAAAAUCAAAACUAAAAAGAAUAACACAUCAUCGUGCCACAUCAUCUCAUUGAUCCAGUCAGAUGACUUGGGGGUGUAAACCAAAUAAUCUUGAUAUUUCAAAGGGGAAUCUUCAAGUUUUUUUUUCAUAGAGGUAUAUUAAAAGACGCUCAUAUAACAGGAGAUAAAAGCCUAUUAACCCUUAUAAAUUAAUUGAAGAGUGUCGUGGCUUCGGUCCGCUCUUGAGAAGACCACCAUUGUUAACCACUUAAUUACAACUAAAUUGUCUUUUCAUGUUGAUUUGGACCCACAUUUCCCCUCAAAUACAUAUACAAUAAUGAAAAUCUAGUAUUAGUUUGAAGCAUUACCACUUCUGAGUAGCCAACAAUUGUAGUAUCCCAUGUAUUAGGGAAAUGAAGUCUUCAUAAUGUAAAAUUUGGUUGAAAGAUAAAAAUAAGUAGGACAAAUAAUUUUAUAGUUGGAUUAAUUUAAUCUUAUCUAUAAGAAAAGGUACAUUUUAGAAGAAAAGAUUGAUACACAACUCUUUGUUGAGUAGAUUAUGAUUGUAUUUUUAUUAUAAUUAUAUAUUUAUUUAUUUUUUUGUUAAAAUUAUUUACAAAUUUUUAAUAAUAGACUUAUAUUAUAUACAUAUUAAUCCUCGCUUAAAAUGCGACUGCCAUUACAAACCAAGUAAAACUCUCGUCAUGGGCUAAAUGAAUGCAAACACUGGCUUUAUUAUAUUGGCUGCUGAUAUAAUUUAUGACAACCAGUUGAUUAAUAUUUUCAAAAGGAAUAAAUUUAAAAAUUAAUGAUAAUUUAACAAUAAGGUCGUUGUAGUAUAGUGGUAAGUAUUCCCGCCUGUCACGCGGGUGACCCGGGUUCGAUCCCCGGCAACGGCGUUUUUUUAUUUAUUUCGAAAUGUAGGGGCUGUUGUUUUGAGAAUUGGAUUGAACGCUUUUUCCUUGCUAUUCGUAACUGAUUCUUUCUUUUGUUCUUGAUAAUGAUAAGAUUUUUUUAUUAAACACUAAUGUAUGACUAAUUAACUUUGUAAAAAAAAACUAAUUAAGUUUAAGAAUUCGCUCUCAAAAAAAAGUUUAAGAAUUCAUUCAGAAUAUUUAUUAUGUUAUUAUAUUGUAUUUUAUACACCACCAAAAACUCAAUUCGUAAAUGCAAUUAGUCUAGAAUGGAUCUAGAAGUUUCGAGUAUAUACAUAUAUAUUACUUCCGUCCUUAAUUAUAAGAUUAUUUUGAGAAUUUUUUUUAUCUUUUUUUAUAAGACCCAUUUGCUAUUUCCAACUACAUUAAUUAUUUCUUUACAUAUAUGUCCCUAUUAAUUAUACAUCUUUUUCUUCAAUCAACAAUAAAUAACAUGUUGAAAACAUAAACCAUCUCUCUCUUAAAGGAUAAAAUUGUAAAAAUAAUACUAAUUACAAACAUAUUUAAUACAAAUAUUCACUAUCUUAAUUCCCGUUAUUUUUUCAAAAGGAUCCUAUAAUUAGGGACGGAGGUUGUAAUAUUUUUAUUGUUUUAAACAUAAGUUGUCGUUUUAGUUUCUUUAAAAAAAUUCUUCGAUUUUUGUCCUCCAAAAGUUUUUCAUCUCCCAACAAAAAAUUAGUUUUUUUUUCCACAAAACCUGAAUUAAAUAUGAUUUUUUAAAAAUAUUUUGGCGGUUAAAAUUUCAUAUUUAAUUCAUGAUUUGGUGAAAAUUUCUAUUUUUUUAGAAAUUUUUACAGUAUUCUACACAAUUUUUUUAAAAAUUACAAAUGCUACACAUGAAAUAACUUUAAAAUAGAGACCAAAAGUGGUGAUUGAAAAUUUUAUGAGGACUAUAAGUCGAAGAAAAUUUUUAAAGGGCCUAAGACAAUGUAAGAGAAUGCUUGGAAAAAGAAGAGAAAACUAUUUAUAUGGGCUGAGAGCGUGCUUGUUCGCUUACGCGAAGAAGAGUUCGCUUAAGCGAACCUCCAGGUAAUCUUCUGUUGACCAUUGAGGAGCUGCCACGUGGUCCUUAUCUUCUGAAGUUGGAUGAAACUUGCUCAAGCGAACCUCAAGCGAACUUGUGAGCGAACUUUCCUGGAGCUCUCUGGAACUUGUUCGCUUAAGCGAACUGAACUUUUCUCAUGAGCGAACUGAAGGCGUGCUUGUAAGCGAACAAGCUGGUUGCUCUCUGGAACUGGUUCACUUAAGCGAACGGACCUUGGUUCAGAAGCUUCCUUCUUUUGGUCCUUGCUUGUCAUUUCCUGCAUAAAUUGGCUAGAAUCAGGCAUGUAAAGCAUAAAUGGUAAAAUUACACUCAAAUGGUAGCUUUUCCUUAGAUAACUUGCAAAACAAGUCACAAAUUUGCCUAAGUUAACACAUGAAAUAUGUUACUUUUGAGCACUUAUCAUACAUAUAAAUUAAAUCCAUCACACAAACUAAAAUAAUGAAAUCUAUUUAUUUAUUUUUAGGCCGUCAAUCUUUUAAAGCUUGGUAUUAUUAAUUUUUCUCUAAUAAAUGUUAAAAUAAGAUGAUUCAUUUCUAACUCAUCAGCACUUAGAAUAAAUUACACAAAUUUCUUCUAACUUAAUCAAGAUAUUGAGUUUGAAUAUGAGUUUAGAAAUAUAGUAGUGUUAAAUUUUUUAGAAAGAGAUUGCCGUUUAUUGAAGUCAAUGAGACUCGAGAGAUUAAUUUCUCCGUUUGUCCACCGAAGAGACUCGAUUUACAACAAAAAAAGAUGGCUCAUUUCCCUGAGUGAAGAACAAAACGGCGAGUGAAUUGACGCAUUUAAAAUUGAUUAAACCUCACCAUAGUUUUAUUAAAAUUUCUAUAUGAAGAAUCUAUACAAGAAAGAGAAGAAUCCAUGAAAAUAUGAUAUUUGACCAAUUAGAUUCUAGCGAAUUGUAAAUGGGCUACUGGCUGAUGGGCAAGGAUCUCUCCGGUGAACUGUUCACUGGAUGUGGUGCGGUGUAAAUCUUUAUCAUUCAAUAGUUAUUUAAUGAUCUUGACCAAGUCAAGUAGAGGAAAAUGUGUGGCUGUGAUUCCACAACACUCUCCAGUCACGGAAGACAAUCUGGUAUUUUCCAUUUUAUAUUAGAUAAUUUGUGAGCUCACACAAUUUAAUUAUGGAGAAAUGGAGUGUCCAGGGUUCGAACCCCGACCAUUGUAUAUAAAAUGCAAUAUCCCUACCAACUGAGCUAAGCUCACGGGAAUGAACUAAACCAAAAUUAUUGUUGAGGAAAGUGGAUUUUUGUGCUUAAAAAUAAAAAUACAAGGUGGACAAAGCAUGAUAAAUUUUUAAAAAAUUGAGAGUAAAUCCUUAAUUUGAAUUAAGGUGUCUAUACAUUAAAUAACGAGGAACUCUCUAAUUUUAUUUAUUAUUUGAUAUCAAUAUGCUAGACAAUAUAGAACUUUUUUUAGGGAAUAUAGAACUUAUUUUCUAUUGAUUGGAGUUGAAUGAGAUUAUGAUAUUUUCCAAAUGAAUAUUCUCUACAAGAAUCUUUAAGUUGGAGGUCCUUCUAAACGAAUAUAAUCAUAUAAAAUUCCUACAAAAGGACCAUCCUUGGUAGCUUGCGUUAGAAAGAUGGUAUUGUUCCCCUUCACAAGAAGACUGCCUUGUACAUCAAUGUUGUAUAACCAGUACAGCCCGUGAAUUCCAUGCCUUGCUAUUGUAUUCUCCUUUCCAAUAACCCCAGUUGAAAAUAAAGGCGGACUUGUUGCAUCUAAAUUGUUUAUGCGAAUCUAGCAUUCCAAAAUUAAAGAAAAAUAUAUGUAAUUAGUAAGAUAAAUGCUUAUGUAGUUAGUAAGUAGCUACUAUUAUUUCUUAUAUCAAAAGAAUAAUUGUUAUGCCUGUAGCUCCGCAUAAUGUACAGAUGCCAAAGCUAGUCGCAAUUUGUAGGUUCCUUUUGUAUUCACUGAAUCAAGAUUGAAAUUAAUUCGCCAUGUGGUUCCUUGGUAAGUGUUGUUGUCUUUCUUCCUGCAAAUUAGUAAGGGAAGCUAAUUGAGACAAUUAUUAGAGAGGAUCGAGUUUGCCAUAACACUUGUGCAUUCAUGCAUGAUACAAAGUUCACCGGUGUGAGAUGACGGUAAUAGUUUGACUUUGUAAUCUUAGGAGACGAAGUUCAAAAAUAUUCGGCGACAUUUGUUAAAAUGAUCGCUAAUAUUCGGCUACAUUUUUUUUGUAUAAAAGUGUGGCAGGGGGUCAGGAUGGAGGCUAAUUGGUUGACAUUGGCAAAAGAAAAGGCAAAACAAACCUGGUGACCUGAGCAAAAAACCAAUCUUUUUUGUAAUCACUAAUGCCAACAGUGUAAACUAGGUCUUCAUUUGGAUACAGAUCAGCAUAUCUCUCCCACAAGCCAUAUUGCCUAAACCUGUAAAUUAUAAAUAGGCUCAUAAAGUUUUUCCUUAUGUUUUCCAAAAAAUAAGGCUCAAGUGAUAAUAUUAUUUGACAAAAAAAAAACAACGCAUUAGCGAGAUUAAUAAUAUUAUUGGAUAAAAAAGAUCAACGCAUGAGGUAGAUUAAUCUUUGAUUUGAACACAAAAAAUGUACAAUGUGCAAUUCUACAACUCUUAUACCUGUCUGAAUGGUUGACAUAAAGUCUGUUCACGUACAAGGGAUUUGGAUCAGGAACAUAGAACUCAGCAGCUGAGCGAUCAGGGAUGCCUAUUUCCCACAGUGUAGGGCCAUGUCUUGGUGGCUCAUAAACAAGCUCACCCACAUUAAUUUCAGAACCUAUGUCACACAUUUGCCAAAUGAGUAUUGAGUUUAGAAUAGCAGUAGUACUAGGUCUAGUAUCAUUUGGAACUUAGGAAAAACUUCAUAAAUCAUUACCCGAGGUUAUGUUAAUGAUAUUGUUACAUUGAUAAUCACCGAUGAAUCCAUUGACCCACGAAUACAAAUUAUAGUCACCAGGAAGUACAUUAAUUAUUGAGAAAUAGCCUUUAUCAUCGGUAAUGGUCCAAAAUUGAUAGCCCUGUUACGAAAUAAUAAAAAGGUAUCAGAUAUCAUGUGUCCCUAUACUAGUAGUAGUAUUUAUUCAAAUGGUACAAGAAGGAAAUGGUUAAUUAAAAAGGUUACCUUGUAUUCUCUUUGCCAAGAUCCAACAUCUCCUGGGGCUGCUAAUCCCACAUAAGCACCACUGACUGGGACGAAUGCAUCCCUGAUGUACCUAUACAAGUUUAGUAGUGAACCGUGAUGUACCUAUAUUUGAGUCAUAAUGUGAUAAAACUUGGCAAUAUGAUACCUACCUAUCUCGGACAAGCAAUCUACCUUCAAAUUUACCUCGUUGGGCAGAUGAGAGGAAGUCCUCAGAAGCAGGAAAAGUAUAGGGCCAGCUUUCAACUUCAUUCACCAUCUGCAAUAUGUAUUUUUUAAAAUUUAAUUGAAUUAAAUAAAACUAAAGCUUAAUAAUUGUCACAAAUUGAUUGUGGCAGGCGGCAUAGCCUAACCUGUUGUUUGGCGUCCUCCCAAAGCUUGAUUGGGCUAAAACCAUCAGAGUUGGAAUUAAGGUAUAUGAAUAUUGGACCAAAGACUUUCUUCCAUGGUUCAUUUUCUCCAAAUUUCAUGAUAAGAUCUGCCCCUGAAUAAUGUGUGCUAUGAAAUACCUGAAUCACAAGGGUGGUUUACCAAAUAAAUAAGAAGAACUCAUAAAACACGCCAAAUUUAAAUAAAAAAAAAAAAAAACUCACAGAGAGCAUGGUGGGGCCCAGGUGAGAACCAAGAUAUUGUUUUAAGGGCCCAGCAGAUCUGAACUCAUAGCUAGGCGUAAUUAGCCAGCAUCCAGUGGAAUCUGAUGAUGAAUCAAUGGAAAUCCAACCAUGAACUUGGUUACUUCGACUCUCACAUGCGUACUCAUACUUAUCAUCCACCUGCUUUCAAAUACAAUACUUACUAUUUCCCUUUCAAAUUCAAAAUAUAUAUAUACUUGAAAUACCUCUCCUUUGAACUCUGGCUCCACCGGAUUGACAAGGCGGACAGCCUCUGGGUAAGCCAAAACUUGGCCUCUAGGAGGUAAACGAUCAUCAGGUAGAGGCAUAAAUCUUUGUCUAUUGUCAGCUAUAGCCAUGUAAUUGAACCUUUUCAAAUAAAUAAAUAUUGAAACAAUUGAAUGCAUGGUUUGGUUUUGCUUUCUAAUUUUCUAAAUCUCGGAAGAAAAAAAAAAAAACAAAAAUUCUUACUUGUCUUUCCUAAGCUUGAAAGCAACCCUAGUAUUGUCAAGAUCAAAGGCAGGCCAUUCCUUCAAAUGAUCGUAAAUGGCAUACGUGUAGAAUCCGGAUGAACCACGAAGCAUUAUAAACCUACGUAUGUAUAGAUUUUCCUCAUUUUUAUUAUUUAUUUUACUUGAACUAAUUUAAAGUUUGCUCCUAAAGCAGCAGGGUAACCAAUAAACCUUUUAUCAAUAUUGAGUGGCGCAAGCUUUCCUUCAAGAGAUAAAUUCCAUGUUCUAGUGAAAGAUAGCUCUACUUGUUCUUCACUUUCCAUUAUCACCCUCAUAUUUGUCGUUUCCAGCCUUUCAAACAUAAUAAUAAUAAUAAUAAUAAUAAUAAUUCAUUUUGGUACAUUUAAUCAAAUUUAAUUAAUAGGACAAGGUCCGUGAAUCAUACAUACAUACAUGCAUACCUGUCCAAUUUACCCUUUCCCUUUGCACCUUUUUUUGUUCUUUUUUCCCCACCUUGAUCCCAAACAAUAUCCCAAUACCUACAAUUUCAUUGGUAAACCAAAACACCAAGAACGUAAUAAUAAGUUGAAAUUAAGUUGUUGUACGUACCCUCUAUCAGAUUCGUGGUUAUUAAUUUCGAGCAAAUUAUCGAGUCCAUUAUAUUGAAUUCCAGUAACACAUCCUUCUGGGUUUGAUAUAUUGACUUGUACUAUGUCAUUAUCAAUUACCACCUAAACAGAACAAAAAAAAUAUACAACAUAUUUUAUUCUAAGUUCAUUGCCUUAGAAAUGUUAUCCUAAAAGAUCACUUUUAAAUAAAAAUAAUAAAACAUAUACUUAAAAGAAGUGGAUUACAUAGUUUUCUUGAAUAUCCAAUCGCACCCCUGGAGAUUACAUACUAUAAAUUAGUCACAUGAAAUGUUCCCAUUCAGCUAAUAUUUAUUUUCAUAAUAUAGAUUAAAUCCUAGUGCAGCUAUUCUUUUAAUGCGGAUAAAAUGAAACGCAAGAACUGUGUAAAAGUCAUUGAAAACCUCGUAUCAGAGAGAAUUUUGGUAACAAAAAGUAAAAUAUAUAAAAAAAAGAGAAAGAGAAAGAGAGAACAAACCAAGAACCAGGAUGAAUUGUAACAUCAAAAACAGGAAAAGAUUGUGGAAGUCCAUUGUUCUUUGUUCAACCGUAAUCUUUCUCUUUCUAUGAAAACUUUGCUUGACGACAAAUAUUACUUUCAGAUUCUUUGAAUUAAUUUGUAUAUUUGUAUGACACAACAGCUUCUUUAUAUAUCUCCAUAUAUGCAAACUUCAUCAAAACGUUUUCUGCAAAAGCGAAUUUCAAUUGCUUUAGGAGAAUGAAAUUUGAUUUUGCAUAAAUUUAUAGAAAGUGUGUUAUUGCACAUUUAAUGAAUUUUAAGACAUUGCAUGUGAAAGCAAACAUUAAACAUAAUUUUAAUUCAUACCUAAUAAAACAUAAUAGAAUGUUAAUGAUUUUUUUUUCCUAAGAUGCAUGCACUCAGUCACAUUUUUGCAGCUGAUACACUACUUUUCAGAAUAUAAUAAAAUUUGAAUUGUUAAUUAAAAUCAUAUUUUGGACUAUGAAUAAUUAGAGAAUAAAUUGUUUCUAUGUCUUUAUAAAAAAUAAAAUAAAAAUACCAAUAAACCAUGAGUGGUAAAUUUGUAUAAUUUGAACAACUAAUACUUAAUGUUUAAAUCAGCAUGACUUGGUGAUGAAGGUGGUGGCUAUUAGGUGUGGUUUGACAAGAGAAGCAUGUGGCAGGUAGGAAGAAGGGAGAAGCAAGAGUCUAAAUGGAAAUUAAAUUAGGAAUUAACUUGAUUUGGUAAUCGAGGGAAUAAAGGUUCGGUUAAGCAAGCUAAAUCAUAUAGAUAAAAUGGAGGAAUGAAGGUAACGAUAGGCUAACUAAUAAGCAUAGUCAUGUGGGAUUUGGAUCCUCAGCUGCAGUAUCUUCUGCUGCAAUGUCUACGGCUAAAUCUGAGCCAUUGGAUUAAAUAAAUAAUUAAUUAAAAUAAAUAAUAAUAAAAAUAUGAAAACUGCCCAAUUACAUCAUGUCGUGCGCGCGUUAUUUUGUUUUCGAAUGGCAAACAAGAACACACAACUCAGUGAGUGAGAAUGACAAAAUCUUCAAAAAUCAGAUACACCGUCUCUUUCAACAAUCACCUAUUCAAACCCCUAAAUUUCUUUUGGGUGCGGUAUGUGCCGAUUCAAGUUGCGAAACGCGAUUUGAAGAACCAGGGAUCAAAAUUUUCAUCGUUGAGUGAUCAGUGGUCCUCUAUUCAAUUCUCAUCAUCUCACUUCUCAUCUUUCUUGCGGUUCAAAAUCUGGCAUAUACAUGUUAUUGGGUUCUGUGAAUUGGGUUAAACCGGGAGAUAAGUUUUUCAGGUUUUAACAUUGAUAAAACUAAAAAGAAAUUUUGUUAGAAAUCACUGCUUAGUGCUUCCUAUAAAAUGGAUAAGUUAUUGAGUGUGGCUCUGUGUGUUUUGCUAUGUGCUUUGAGGUGGAUGGUGAAUUGGUGAGUAAUUUUACUAAGGAGUCACAAGUGAUUUUAACUAAUAUUUCUUCUGCAAUUUUCUGGUAUUGGUGGCUUAGCUUUAAAAUUGCCUCAGUCUCAAAUUCGGACAAUUAUUAGAAUUGUUUUUGGAGGAUGAUCGCAUUUUUCAUUGAGUUCGAGUUGGACAUCCACAUCUCAAGCCAUGCUCUUGUCAUAGGAUUAUGUUUGUAUUUUGCCAUGUGAGUUGUUGGGUUGCAAUUAGAUUUAUUGGCUUUACUGGAUUUUGUACUGCAUUUAGGAGGUUUUUUUAGUAAAAGUUAGUUCUCCUUAAAUAGAAAUAUGGUCAUUGGGUAAUGGAGCAAGUUGUGUGGACUUAUUAUGCAUGCCUUGUGGCUUGGUAGAGUUUGGUUUGGUUAGUGCAUACUAGUUUGUAGGAUUUGAAAGUGCAAAAGAGAUUGUACAAAACUGUUAUUAAGCCUUUAUUUUUUUGAACAUGUACUGGUUUGGAGUAUUAUAUCAUGUUGCUUGGAUUUUAAAUUAAAAAACUUAUUUUAAUGACGGUACAAACUCAUUUUAGAGAAGUUAAAACAAUAUAACUUUUGAUUAUUUAAAAAAAAAUACAUUAUUAAAUUCAUUUCUUUUUUACUUUUGGAAGUCACGGAAUAUGCAAAUUUGGCAAAAUGUGUCGGAAACCUGUCAAGUUAUUUUUGAAUGUGCGCGUAAGUUGUUACAAGGAUGGAAGGAAGCAUAUAUGUGUAAAGCUAGGCUGGGGGAGGGCGAACAACACCGUAUCAGCCGACAGGAGCAGCAGUUCAGUGCUGGGAGAGGGCGAACAGCAACCUGCUAUGCGUGCUGUCAGCACCAUAUCAGCUGGCGGCAGCAAUUCCACACAGCAGCAGCACAUCAGGUGGCAGAAACCAGGCACGGGAAGGCUUAAGUGUAAUGUUGACGUGGAAUUCACGAGAUCCUUGAAUGUUAUUGGUGUUGAUAUGUUUAUAAGGGACGAAGCUGGACAGUUUGUGGCAGCCAAGACGCUACGGUCUGGUCCUAUAUGUGAAUCGGGUAUAGGUGAAGCUUUGGGCCUCUCAUACGCUAUCCAAUGGGUACAUGAGCUGAAACUCACUAAUGUCGACUUUGAGAUGGAUGCCAAAAGGGUUGUAGAUUAUUACAAUAAGGUAAGCAAUGAUAUAUCUGAAUUCAGCGCAACCAUUGAUGAUUGUAGACGUCGAUGUUGUUAUUGGUUUGAAAACUCUAAGACAAAAAGAGCUGCGUAAGGGCCACCUAUAUGUUAAUUAUACAAAAACAGCUGCUCCCGUAUAACAAAAGAACGCAUACCCCUUCCUCAUAAUUCACAUAGAAAAAACUUAGACAAAAAACUCCCAGCAAGGCUGCCACCCCCCAAUACCAUACCAUUACCUACACUACUGUUUGAAAAAAAAACAAACCAAAAGCCAUAGCAGCCAACAUCCGUGCAUGACCAGCCCUUGAAGCAUGAACUGGAAAAAAACCACCCCACAAACAAAACCAAAGACAACUACUGCACCUUCAAUUUGUGUGAGUGUGUCCAAAUGUUUUACAUUUGUGGUUUCCACACAAGUAUUCAUCCUCAUUUUAUACUUUGGUUCUAAUUAUAACAAUAUAGAAUUCAUUUACUUUUGUAAACAAGAAAAGCAAAUGGAUGUUUUACUUGCAUUGACAUUUGACAGCACCUAAUCAAACAACAAAGAAAUAGUACAAUAAUUGUAAAAGGGGCUUAUGUAAAGCAACACCUAAUUAAAAAUUCAUGAUAACACUUAAAUAACUAAUCAAAAAUAGCAGCUAAUAAAAAAAAAAAACUCAUGUCAACACUGAAUUUGUAUCAUAAGCUCUUCAACAUCUCGAUACAACUAUGGGCCUCAAUUCAAGUCUCUGGUACCAUCAUCAAGUUGCUCCUAUAAUUUAAAAAAUGCAAAUUAAUAUUAUAUAUAUAGAUUUGAAAGUGAAUCGUAUAAUUUGAAAUUUACCAUCAAUAAGCUAGUAAAACUAGCAACACCGAAUUGACUAGAAGUUCCAUCGUCUCCCUACAUAAAACCCAAAAUAAUUUAAACACUAAACAUAGUUAAGGUCAUUCACAAAUUCAAAUUGUUAUUAGCUAACCAUAGAUGGUUGAUUGUAUGCAUUAUUAAGCCAUAUAGGUGCACUUGUAAUUGACGAUGCAAAUGGUUGUUGACGUUGUAAAUCACUAGUGUUGGACACAACAUAUUGCUUUUGACUUUGUGGAACACUUAUGUUUGACACUUCAUCCCGCCUCUUUAUAUUUUUGGAACCCUGCUUACCUUUGUUCUUCUACACGAAAAAAAGGAAUAUAAAGGUAAGCUUAUGUAGUCAACAAAAACAAAAAAUAAAACUAAAUAUAUUAAUAAUACCAUAGGUUCUUGAAUUUGUGAAGCAAUGGACUUCGCACGUUUCUUUCUCUUGGCCAGUUUUGUUUCUACCCAACCUUUCCAACGUUUUGAACCCUUUGGACCUUCGUUGUUCUUAAACCCCUUUACUUGUGUUGCACAAUCAUUAGUAAUUGAUAUCUCUUUAAUAUUGUUAGAGGUUCCAUUCACUUGUUCACUACUUAUUUGCAUAUUUUGAAACUUUAGCAUUUGCUCGUCCAAUUCAUCAGCAACUUCCUUAAGAAACUCAACAGCUUCUGGACUUCUACAUCCUUCUGUGACUAUCCUAAUAAAGCGGGGACAAAUUUCCUUAUAACAUUGUGCUGGAGAUAAAUCCAAGUCUUCUACCACAUGACUAACACCAAUAGUUUGUGAAGCUCUACUUCUUGCUAUCUUUGUCCACCUCUUUAAAAUAUAAGGCUCAGGCACUGAUGUAACGUCCAUAUGAAUGAAGACUUUUAAGCAAUGACAACAAAGUAUGCCAAAGCUUUCAAAUUUACGACAAGAGCAACAAAUUGUAUUCUUUUCCAAAUCGAAGGUCACUUGCCAUUCUCCCAUAUUCCUUUUCUUGGCAAUAACAUAAGUAGAUGAUGAUGUUUGUAUGUCCAUGCUUUUCACAAAGCAUGCUUCAAACAACUCAUACUCACGUUGGAAUAAGUCGAAAAUAGUAGGAGUAUAAAGCUUGGACACUUGUUGCAAAAUAUCAGAAUAUGAGUUCUUCAGUCUUGGAAUUUUUUGGCGUGCUUCAAAUUCACACUUCAAUUCUUUAUACCGCUUUUCUUCUACAACAUCUUCAAAACGCUCAAAAAAUUUAAUUAAAUCCAAGUUCUUACUCAUAAAAUUUUUAAUAUCUGCAUUCACACUUUCACUAAGUUGAGUGCUUCGCAUCCCUAAUGUCAAAGUCUUCUUCAUGUAACAAGAUGCCCAUUUCUCCUUUAUAUUGUACAUUCUUUGCAACCAAUCAUUUUUCUGAACACCAUACUUUAUAAGGAGGGAUGUCCAACCAUCUUCAAAUUGUUCUACAUCUUCAUAACCAUACAUGCAUUUCUUAAAGUCACUAAGAAAAUAAGAUUCCCCCUUCAUUAAAUUUCCUAAGUGUUUAAUUCCAUUUUGCAUCAAGUGCCACGUACAUAAACCAUGGUAAGCUUCAGGCAUAACCUCGGCUAAUGCUUUUGCCAUUGAUUUGGCUUGAUCAGUAAAAACUGUUUGAGGCAUUUUCUGCUUAUGUGCUUCUAGAAAUGUCUCAAAUAGCCACUCGUAUGACUCAGCAGUUUCGUCAUAUAAUAAUGCAGCUCCAAAAAUUACGGCUCCUCGAUGGUGGUUAAAUCCCGAGAUGAUUGCUAGUGGUCUGUGCGAACUAUUUGUGCAAUAUGUUGAAUCAAGAGAAACAACAUCACCAAAAUAACUGUAAUCAACCAGCAUCCUAGCAUCUGCCCAAAACACAUUGGUGAUUUGAUCUUCAAUAUCUAGCUGAUAAGCAUGGUAGAAAGUUGGAUUUUCUACCGUCUUUCUUUGAAAGUAUUGCAAUAAAUAGCCGGCCUCCCCUUGUACCAAACUUCUUUCUCUUUUUUUCCGAAGAUAAUUCUUUUGAUCAAGACGUAUAAAACCCAAGUUAGUUCUGCCUCCUACUUCUUUACUCAAUAAAUCAAACGAUUUCUUUUGUUGUACACCGACACUAUCAGCUAGUUCAAUUUGUUGACAAUGAAUUUCAGAAACCUUUCGUUGAGACGACAACAUAUGAGUUGUUUCUGGCAAAAGUAACUCGUGGUUGUGGUCCUCCACAAAAUCAUGCACCAUCAAUUUUCCAUCCACAUUCUUAAGUCCUAACCUUGCUUCACAAUUUGUUCUGGUCUCUAGUCUUGGAUUCUUUGUUUUAUAAUCUCGCUUGUCUGGCUUUCGCAUGCCUUCUUUGCAGCAAACAAACCUACAAGAAGAAACUGAACCAUCCUUUUUCCUGUGUGUAUAAUCUUUCCUCACUCCGAAUCCAACCUUACCACCGUAAGUGUUCCAGAACUCCCAAGCAUCUUCAAAGCUACAGAAAACCAUAUCUACUUUUGGCUUCCAAUCUUCAUUCAUCUUGUAUCAAAAGUCUUAAAAAUUCCUAAAAACAAAAAAUGUAUAUCUUAUUUGCGGUAGCCAAAUGUAUACCUUAUUUAAUUAUAAAUGAGUAUAAACAAUCUAAAUUAUCAUCGUAAAAGAGUAUAUAUAACUCACAAAAGAAACAAUUAUACAUGAAUAUAAACAAUCUAAAUUAACGUAAAAGAGUAUAUAUAACUCACAAAAGAAACAUAUAUAUAAUAUUUAAUGUAUCACAUUUUAAAAUCAAUUCUCAACUCUGUUGGUUAGUUUUUUGUAAUCAUAAAAGUGAAUGAGGACAAACAUGUGAAAUAAUUUGUUUCUUAUAUAAGUAAUGAGGACAAGUAAGUGAAAAAUAUUACAAGUAAAAGUAAUGGAUCAGCAUAUGAAAUUAGUUAUGACCAAUGGAGAAAAAACAAUAGACGUACCUGAGAUUUGAGACAAUCGAAAAAGUAAAUAAGGGCAAUUGAAUAUUAGUGUUCUUUGUGUUUUGGCACAAGCUAGUUAGUUUUUGCAGCAACGAUGAAUAACUUCCCUGGUAGAAACAAAAUAACGCGCGCACGACAUGAUGUAAUUGAGCAGUUUUCAUAUUUUUAUUAUUAUUUAUUUUAAUUAAUUAUUUAUUUAAUCCAAUGGCUCAGAUUUAGCAGUAGACAUUGCAGCAGAAGAUACUGCAGCUGAGGAUCCAAAUCCAUAGUCAUGUGAAAGAAUGCUUGGAAGAAUCUAAUCUUGUUGAACCGACCAAAUCAUGUUAUAUUACUUUUUUUCCAAUUCAAUUUUCAUAAUCUAAUUCUUGUUGGACUUUUAUUUGUUGCUACCUGCCAAUAGACCAUAGUUUCUCUAGUUGCUCACGGGUCGCUAUAGUCUAUAUGGUUCGGUAGUUACCAUAAUACAAGGUCACAAAGUGAAGUUAUUAGUGUACUACUAGAUAUUAUAAGUAAAAAUUAACAAGAUAAACUUAUUAAUAAAUUGUUUAGUCAGUAUUAUUAUUAAGAUUUAAUUUGUAUAUAUUGAGGAUGCAAACCUUUUCAAACACGCAUCUAAUUAAAUUAAUUAAAUCUUUUUUUUUUUUUGACAAAAUAAUUUUGUUGCAGUUGUCCCCAAAAUUACAUGUACAAAUAGUUGUCUCCCAAAAAUCUAAAUAUCCCUUAUGUUAGUUUUAAACAUAUGCGCUCAACUAAAUAAUAUAUGUGAAAAUAUUGAUAGUAAAAGACUAAUAUAUCUAAGGGUGUUAACAUGUAUGGGUAACCUGUUCAACCCAAUUACUCUAUCCGAAUCAACCCGCAUUUAAGCGAGCAUGCUCAAGUUUGGGUCUAAUCCGAGCCAACCCAUUCAAACCAUAAUAGUUUAGUUCAGGUAAUGCUUUUAUGAUUUCAAACCCAAGAACAUGCGAACUCAAUCCGUUCAAAAAAAAUUGUUAAAUUUUUUAUUUUGUAUAAUAUAGUUUUAAGUCUUUUAUACCUUAAUUUUGAUGUUUUUCAAAUAAAUUCAAGUGUUAGCAUUUUUAAUACCAAAAAUUAAUUUAGAUAUUAGAAUUUUUAUAAAAUAGAAUGUCAUUUUAUUAUAUUUUCUAUUUGGAAUGUUUUUUUAAAAAGUAUUUAGUGACCAAUUGAUCCAACCCAAACCAACUAGAAUUGAUCGGAUUUGCUCGAAACUGGCCAGCCCAAUCUGUGUUAAAAUUUCAUUUUUUUUUUUUUUUUUUUGGAGAGUUCUCUAUUUUCUGUGGGAUUAAAAUUGAUGUUAAGCGAAUUUCCAAUAAUAGUAAUGCCGCACUUACUCAUUGCAAUUGCAGUUACAACGAAAAAGGUAGGCGCUUUUUAUUCACCAAUGCAAUAACUAAUUUCAGUAAUGGAUUUUUCUUUUCUCUCCUUCUGUGUGCUAAACCCACGGUCAUCUAAUUAUUAGUCUUUUUUUUUUUUUUUGGUAGUGCUCUAAUUAUUAUUAGUCUUCCAUUGUGAUCAAUUUUCCUAGAAAUAAUAAGGAAAAAAAGUUGUAAAAUGGUGACUAAAACUCAGUCGGAUGUUGCUAGUUGUAGAGUAGUGAAAGUUGGCAUCUAAUCUAAUAUCAUUAAGAGCAACUAAUUCGUGUUUGAAAAACCGCACACGUUAAAUAUUUGGGAACUUCUACGGUACACCUCACAAAUUGGGGUGUACCGGUACUCCUUGCUUCAUAAAUUGAUAAAUUUAUGAUUAUUUUAGGAAGUAAAGAGCUAUUUGUCAAGGUUAUCCUUUAGAAAACAUCAUUUCAUAAGAAGAAAAACAUAAUUUCAUUGUUUAUAAGAAUCAUAUUAAAUUUUUAACAUUACUCAUAAAAAAUAAUCAAUAAUCUUCAUUAUGAGUAAUAAAAAUUCAAAAAAAUUAAAUUUUAUUUCGUCGACACUUUUGAUAAAUAAGAUUUAAUUUUUAUAAUUGUAAAUGAUAGAUUUCUUCAAAAAAAAUAACUCAUUUAAUUAAUAAUUUAACAAUUUAGUGUAUCGGUACACUCAAAUAUUUGAGUGUACCAUAGAAUUUGCCUAAAUAUUUAUGCUUAUAUUCAAACAUCUUUAAUGAACACACACAUGAAGAGAGCACUCACUUAAUUAAUAGUUACUCCCUCCGUCCCUAAUUAUAAGACCCUUUUGUUAAAAUCACGGGAAUUAAGAAAACGGAUAUUUGUAUUAAAGUUGUUUGUAAUCACUAUUGUUUUUACAAUUUUAUCCUUAAGAGAGAGAGUUUGUUUAUGUUUUCCAUAUGCUACUUAUUGCUGAUUGAAGAAAAAGAUGUAUAAUAAAUAGGGGCAUGUAUGUAAAGAAGUAAUUAAUGUAGUUGGAAAUAACAAAGGGGUCUUAUAAAAAGGGACAAAAAAAAUUCUCAAAAGAGUCUUAUAAUUAGGGACAGAGGAAGUACAUCUUACACAAUAAAUGAUCACCAACAUCACAUCCUCCUCUCUUUAGAAUAUCUCUAAAUGAGCAUUCAAACUUAAGGAUACUUUAACUCGAUCUUCACUAGUCCUCCUAUUUUUAGGAAAGAUAAAUAACUUUCAUUCAUGAAAAAUAGCAUUAGUUAUCACAUAUUAUCAAGUAGUUUCACUCCAUCUCCAAUUAACUUCUUUUUUUUUUUUUUUUUUUUUUUUUUUUUUUUUUUGGGACAGGAAUCAAUUAACUUCUUGAAAUAUAUCUCUUACAUUUGCAUCACUUGCAUUAAUAUUUAUUAUUGUUUAGAAAUUAAAAUUAAUUUCCAAUAAUUUUCAGCUACAAGUAGACCAUGAACAGUUACACACUAUCAAAUAAAUUUAGGUUUAAAAAGCAUUUUCCAAUGACAAUCUAAAUCAAAACAUUAUUUCAUGAUUGAUCAUAUCAUAAAAGAAAAUUAGAACAUCGCGAUAAAAAAAAGAUACAAAAAAGUAUGAUUAAUUACAUAUAAUCCAAACAAAAGAGAGAAUUAACUACUCAUUGUUAGGAUAGCUUUACACAAUUGAUAAGAAUUGAGAUGAAAUGAUAUCAAUACUUGAACACCCCAUUCCUUUCUACAACUCUACUUUAAUUCGCACAUUUUUAUUCUUCAAAUGGAAGACAUGAACUUUAUUUAUAGUGAGAGGGUAAGUGAGAUUUCACCAAGUGAAAUUGUAGUUCGCUUGACGAGCUGCAUUUCUUCAUUUUAAAGUAAUCGCCGGUUGUUCUCAAGAGUCGCUAAUUCACCUUGAUUGUCCAAGUAAAAUUAUUACUUAGCUUAGCAAAUUUUGCCCCCGAAACUCCCUAAUUGUCCCCCUACUGUACCCCAAUGCCGAUGAUUUAGGAUUACAUUCCUCUCAAGAAGUGUUGAACUCAAUAAAAUAAUUCUAAUAGUCAUUCUAUAAACAAAAUUAAUUUUGAAAAUCAUCUCUACAUACUACUACUCCCUCCGUCCCAAAUUGUAUGACGUUUUGGGCAUUUCACACAUAUUAAGAAAUGUAAUUAAUAUUGUGUGGGAAAGAGAUAUUAUGAGUUGUUUUACAAAAUUAUCCUCAAUAAAUGAUAUGGGAAAGAUAAAUGAAAGAAUUGAAAGAAGAGGGAGUAAUAAAUAGUUAAGGAUAUAAUAGGAAAAGUAAUAUUAAUUUUUCAUUGGUAUUGUAAAGCGACAUAUAAUUUGAGACAAAUAUUUUUUCUAAAGUGACAUACAAUUUGGGACGGAGGGAGUAUAUAACAAAAAAUGUAACCAAUUCAAGGUUUUAAUGUGACUCGGCUUCCGACAAUCAUUGUUUUUCUAGUUAAUACAAAACAAAUGUAUAAAGGUUAAGAGAGCAAUUAUUUUCAUAAUUCUACACUAUACACUAUACGCAAAUAACUAUCUUUUCCUUUUCACACACACAACCACUUUCUAAUUUGAUGAUUCUUGGUUGUUCCUCUUGAUCCUUUUAUUUAUUUAUUAUUAUUUGCAAAAGGAACUUUUACAUUUUCUUUCAAUCACCACGGAGUAUUUCACUUCGAUUUUUCUUUCUUUUCCAAGAUACAACAAGUUAAUAUUCUUUUAUCUUAUAAGCAUUGGAGAUAUUCACUGUCUUUCUUUUAGGUUUAGUGUUCUGAAUCUGAUUUAUUAAAAAGAAAGAAAAUUUUCCAUUUAAAGCAUAAAAGAUUAACUCUCAAAAUUGAAAUAAUUGUCUUGAUCAUGUCCAUGAAACAUACAUAAAGCAACAAGUAGAGAUAUUAAAGCAAAAUAAACCAGUGUACAAACAAUGUCGACUCUCAAAUCAUCUUAUCCUAUAGAUGCACACAAUUCACCAUGCCAAGUCUAAUGUGAUUCCUGAAAUGAACAAUUUUCAUGUAAUAGAAUAAAAUAUCACUUUGAUUCAUACACAUGAUAUCUUUCAAGUACAACUAUAAAAUUUGGCCUUAAAAAUAGCAGCGAAUAUGUCACGAUUUCACAAGUAUUGCGAUUUGUCUAACGAUCAAAUACUCAAAUUAUGGAUUGAUAAUGAUAAAUAAAAUAACACGGUACACAUUUAACAUGUUAUAAUCCAAAAUAAAUACAAGGUAUUUUUCAUUUGUAAUCUUUAAUUGUCUUACAACGCAAGAAAUCUUAAAUCAGAAACAUCAUGACUCUUUACUUUCCUAUUUCUUUGAAUUUAAUAGAAGAAUAUUAUAAAACAGAAAAAUUUCUCAAAUUUUCUUACUGAAACUAGAAGUAGCUGGACCUUCCAAACGAAUAUAAUCAUACAUAAUGGCCUGAAAUGGAAUAUUGCCUCUAGCUUGUGUCAAAAAGAUGGUAUUAUUAUCUCCUUCAACAAGUAAAGAACCUGGUAUGUUCACAUUGUAAAGCCAAUAAAGUCCAUGAAUUCCAUGUCUAGCAAUUGAGUUAUCCUUUCCUAUCAACCCACUUGAAAAUAAAGGGCGAUUUGUUUUGGGAUCAUUGACUCGUACCUAAAAUUGUUAAUAGAGUUUUCAUCAAACAUAAGGUAAGCUUUAAAUCUUAAUUACUUGGAAAUUAAACUAAUAGUUACAGAUUUUAAAUAUCAAGUUAAAGAUAAAUUGGUUCAAUUUGCUCUGUAAAACCUAACAGGGAGUGAAAUAAGAAGUUUUCUUAACAUUAAUCUAAUACACAAAAUGAAUUUAGAAAUGUUACCUGAAGUUCUGAAUAUGUAGCUGAUGCCAAAGCCACUCGAAGUUUAUAGCUACCUUUUCUGUUUACAUUAUCAAGGUUAAACUUGAUUUGCCAUGUGGUUCCUUGAUAUGUAUUAUCUUCUUUCUUCCUAAAAUUGAGGAGGAAAAUCAACUAUAAUGUAAAGUAGCAGAUAAUUAGUUGAUAAUGCAAAACCUUUAUCUUUACCUGGUAACUUGAGCAAAGAACCAAUCUUUGGUGAAGUCACUAACACCGAUUGUGUAGAUCAAAUCGUUGUCAGGGUAUAGUUCUGCAUAUCUCUCCCAUAUACCAUAUUGCCUAAACCUGCAAAAUGCAAAUUGUAAUCACCUACAAAAAUUAUAUAAAUAGUCUUUGGUCAAUAUGCACUUCAUUUACUUUGGCAAUAAACAUGGUCCAUGCCAUAGGGUCGGUGUUUUGGACACUGGUGCCAAUAUGUAGACACUAAUAAUAAUUCGAAGAAAAAAAGUGAUUAAAUGUAGCCACAUGUGUGAGACGCACAGACACACCUUUAAUUUGAAAUGUUAGUGCUACUUUGAAUUUAUUUUGAAACGGUUGUCGGAUGAAUGUUUAAUAAAAAAUAAUAAUCAUAUGAUGUAAAUUUAUGUUGAAAUGCAUUAAAAAAAAAGUGAUCCUAACUUGUCAGGAUGAUUAACAUAAAGUUUGUUGAUAUAUUUGGGAUUUGGAUCAGGAACAUAGAACUCAGCAGCUGAGCGAUCGGGGAUGCCUAUUUCCCACAAUGUUGGGCCAUCUCUUGGUGGCUCAUAAACAAGAUCACCAAUAUCUAUGUCACAGCCUGUUUAAUUUCACAUAAACAAAAUACACAACACUAAUUAACACAAAAAUUGUCUGCAGUUUAUAAAAGAAAAUAACUAAAUUGAUUGAUGAAUUAAUACCUUCUGUUAUGCUAAUUACUACAUCAUAUUUAUAGUCACCAAUAAAACCAGGCACCCAUGCAUAAAAAUUAUAGUCACCAACAUGUAUAUUGCUAAUCGAGAAAUAGCCAUCAUCAUCUGCUUUAGCCCAAAACUGAUAAUUCUGAUAACAAUUUGAUGUAAAUACAAGUUAGCUAGCAGUUUCUUUUAGCCAUACAUAUAAAAGUUCCUAACAUAUAUAUCUAUUUUUCAAGUCACACCUACCUUGCAUUCUCUUUGCCAAGAUCCCACUUCUCCUGGUGUAGCCAAGCCAACAUAAGCACAAUUUGCUGAUAAAUAGUCAUCAUCUAUAUACCUGUAUGUUUUAUAUGCCAAAAUGGAAUUAAAUAAAAAACCAACAAUAUUAUUGGAAUAAGAUUUCUGAUUACUUAUCUAGUUAGUCUUAUUACUUAUUUUGAUCAUUAAUCAAUAAAGAAUACUAACUGAUAAAUAGCUAAUUUAAUUAUUUGACGAUAUUUGCCCACAUAACGACAUUGAAAUAAAAUAUUCCUACAUUUUCUUUCAAUGAAUAAUAGAAGAACACACCUCUCUUUAACCAAUAGCCUGCCACAGACAUUACCACGUUCGUCCCAUUUUGGGAAAUCAUCUGAUUCGGGAAAAUUGUAGGGCCAGCUUUGAACUUCCAUUAACAUCUGUAAGUUUGAUUUGGUAAAUUUUUUAAGAAAAUAUAGCUAUGUACAUAACAUAAUAUGUAUGUAGAUAGAUAAUGAUGAUAAAUUAAGUAAUAUUGAACCUGCAGUUUAGCAUCAUCCCAUAGUUUAAUAGGGUCACUUCCAUCAUAUGGAGAAUUGACAUAGAUAAAAACUGGGCCAAAAACUUUUUUCCAUGCCUCACCAGCUUUGAAUUUAGGCACUAAAUCCUCUCCACUAUAAUGAGCACUGAGAAACACCUGAUUUGGACAAGGGAUUGUAAAAUCAAACCCGAAUCAUGACACUUAGAAUACAACAAAUAUUUCAAUAUAUAGCAGAAAAUGAACUUUGGUUAAAAAUAAUAUGAUUAUAUGUUUUUCUACAUUUUUUGUAGGAUUACUUGCGUAUUAGUGUAUGAUAUGAUUAAGCACUUACAGCAAGUGUGGUUGGUCCGACGUGUGAAGUUAAGUUUUGUUUGACAGGUCCACCGGAUCGAAAUUCAUUGCUAGGCGUAAUAAGCCAGAAUCCAACAGCAGGAUCCAUGCAAAUCCAUCCAUGAACUUGGCUGUCUUUGUUGUCACAUGAAUAUUGAUACUUAUCAUCCACCUAGAAUCAACAAAGUUGACAAAGGAAAACAUAAAUACCAAUAUCUUAAAUUUGUACUAUUAUGUUUUUGUCAUUAUAUUGAAGUAUCUAUAUUCUCAGUGUGAUGCAUGUAAUGUAAAAUGUACCUCUCCUUUAAGUUCUGGUUCUAUAGGAUUGACCAGUAGAACUGCUUCUGGAUAUGCAAGUGCUUGGCCUCUUGGUGCCACUCUGUCAUCUGGAAGAGGCAUAUUCCUCUGUCUAUUAUCCGCCAUUGCCAUAUAAUGGAAUCUGCAUGUCCACACCAUCCAAUUAUUUCCCAUCAAACACUUGUAAGGCUGUUUGAGAGAACUUAUGACUUAUAUGAAAAUAAUUUGAUUUUAAUUUAUCUUUUGUUGUAGACAUAUUUAUGCAUAAAUAGUGUAUGAUAAGUUUUUAACUGUUUAUGCUAGCUAUAAGUGCUUAAUGGAGUUUUUUAUUCAAACAAGACACGCACGCACCGUUUACACACAAGUACAAAAUAAAGUAAAAUGUUAAAGCUAAUUACUUGUCUUUUCUAAGCUUGAAAGCAAUUCUUGUUUCAUCAAGGUUAAAAGCAGGCCAGUCCUCCAAGUGCUCAUAAAUUGCAUAGGAAUAGAAACCGGAACAACCACGAAGCAUUAUGAACCUAGAGUCACACAUAAAUUAUGUCUAUCAUUAAAGUUUAUAUUUCAUUUUAUAGUAACAUUGUUGUAGAUAAAAUAGGGUACGCUCUAUUCCUAAUUAUAAGCAAAAAUGAGUCAAAGAAAGUUGAUAUAUCAACGACUCAUUUUUACUUAUAACUAAGACGGAAGCUAAAGAAAAGUUGAUAUAUUUAGCUAGAUAUAUGUUAUUGUCCCAGACCUUUUAUCAAUAUUUAAAGGAACCAACUUGCCCUCUAGGGAAGCAUCCCAAGUCCUGGUGAAGGAUAACUCAACUUGAUCCUCAUCUUCCAAUAUAACUUUGAAUGUGGUUGCCUUUAUCCUGCCCUCGUUAAUCACAAUUCAAAAAUGUUAUUUGCUUACUACACGCCUACAUUUUUAAAAACAUGUGAAAAUAAAGUAUAUACAUACAUACAAAUAUGACUUUAUUGAACUACUAAGAUAGAUGGUUAAAACAUCAAGAAUCUGAAAGUUAAGCUUGUGCAAAAAUGAGUAUAUGUGAAAGUAAUUAAGUUGGGCAUAUGGCUAUAAUCUAUAUAGCACCGACACUUUAGAUUAAAGAUGUGUUCGGUGCUGACACAACACCGACAUAUGUUAUUUUCAACCAUUUGUGUUUUCUUAAAUUACUAAUAAUAUAUAUAUGUCACAUGUUUCUGAUGGCCGUAUAUGUGUCGGUGUUUCAUAGGUUGAAGCAAUACUACUAUUAGAGGAAUCUUCACCUCAAAUUGUCUUGCAAAUUAAGUAAAGCAAGAGAAAGCAAGAGAAGAUAGACAUACACAUCAAAUUUUCCGGUGGUUCCUGUACUUGUUGGUGAGCUCCAAACGAGGUCCCAAUACCUACAUCAAAGGUUGCCAUGCAAACACAUAUUUAUAAAAUUUCAACUUUUUUAUUGCAUAAAAGUUACUAUUUGAUUUGUAAAAACAACUAAAUAAAACUUUGCAAGGUAUACCCUCUAUUAGAUUCUUCAUUCAACACUUCAAGCAAAUUGUCAAUGUCACUAUACUGUAUUCCAGUGACAAUUCCCUCGGGAUUUGAUAAAGUGACUCUUAGUAUGCCAUUGUCCAUCACCACCUACACAUGAAUUCAUGAAGUUUUAAUGUAAACACUUCACUUUUUUAAGACUAUGUUUUAAAAAUAGGGUUGGAAAUCAAACCGGUGAGACUUUGAGUCAUUGUUCAAUUGGGUGAAUCAAUUUAAUCACGGUUGAACCAGAUGACAAAUAAAUAAAAAUAUUUAAAAAGUAAAUAAUAAAAAAAAAUGAAAAUUGGUUGAACCAACCAUGCAUGGUUGAACGGGUUCAACAUCCUAUUCAAUGUGAUUCAAACAAGCUACAAUGUAAUUAGAAUUAAACCAACCGAUAAACCAGCUAGUUUCUUGUUCCGCCAGUUCGAUCUAGCUUUUAAAACAGUGUUCAUAUCCGAACAAGAAUUUUACAUAAUUGCAUGUGCUUCAUGAUGAUGACUUGACUAGCUAUAAAAGUAUUCAUGUGGAAAGAAAAUCAUUCUAGAGAUAAGAUUUUAAUUACAUGAUGAUCUUGAAUGCUGAGUUGCACCCCUAGGGAAGACAUGACUUGCAGUGAACCAAAGAAAAGUUUGCAAUGAAAGUCUCACAGAAUGGCUGAGAAUUUAUGUUCAAUAUAAUGAGAAGAAAGAAUACACGGCCUUUUAAUUUAUAUGGCACUGAGUGCAGGUUUUGAGCACAAUGUUUGGAUAAAACAGUUUGUGUUCAUGUUGUGAUAACUUAAUAGUAAUACUCUGUAAUGUGCCAGCAGAUAUUGGAUAGUAUACUUGAGGACUUAUAUAUAUGUUGGUUUUAUUAGUUUCCUUUGAACUAGAGACAAAGCAUUCUUUAAAUCUCUUUACUUAGUCGUCACAUUUGUUUGGUGCAUAUAGUGCAUUAAAUAAAGGCUUCAGAGUGAAGAAACGGUCAAUCACUUUUCAAAACGAAUUUAUAGAUGUAUGAAAACUUCGUUACAAUCUCAACAAUUGAACUUUAACAAAUGCCUAAAUUCUGUUUUUUUAUGAAACAUCGAACACAACGUGACACAUCGACAUCAAUAGUAAUUUAAAA